Olea europaea var. sylvestris is the source of this 1770-nucleotide long non-coding RNA. RefSeq lists it as uncharacterized. The record is from RefSeq and is a predicted model, not a curated record. NCBI's taxonomy places the organism in Eukaryota, Viridiplantae, Streptophyta, Magnoliopsida, Lamiales, Oleaceae. The transcript is spliced from 2 exons.
UAUUUAUGUAAUUUGCUAAUUCAGCUAGUUAGUUAGGCUGAGCUGUCAAUUCUACAGCUGGUUACUAUUGUACAGAAUAAGUGCAUGUAUAUAUACGUUUGUACUGCUUCCUUUUGGCAUAUAUGAAAUACUCCAGUUUCUCUCUCUACUCUGUAAUCAGGUUUUCUCCAAUUAGGGUGUAAACUUUACAUGGUAUCAGAGCAUUGAUCAAGACCUUCAUUCAUGGUGACAAAUCCAGAAGCUGAAAUUGAAGAAUCGACUGAUACUCCUACACCGAAAGUUGAUCACGGUGAAGAUCUGUUGCUUGCAACUCAUCAACUGAUAUUGGAUCUCUCGAGCCCUUACUACGUGCACUAUGUAGAUAACACAGGUAUGCAGAUUGUUUCAGUUGUUCUCUCUAAUGAGAAUUAUUCAACCUAAAGUCGUGCUAUGGAAAUGGCAUUGAGUGUGAAAAAUAAGGAAGGUUUUAUUGAUGGUUCGAUAGUGAAACCCUCCAUGAAUUUACCUUUGUAUGCUGCCUGGCGUAGAUGCAAUCAUAUUGUUUCAUCAUGGAUUAUUAGUUCAAUUCCUAAGGAACUAUAUCCUAAUGUUAUGCAUAAGGACUCAGCACGUGAGAUCUGGCUCAAAUUGAAAGAUAGGUAUAGUCAGGGCAAUGGACCUAGAAUUUACCAAUUGAAGAAGCUAAUUGCUUCAAUUUCACAAGGGUAUGGAUCUGUAAGUGCCUAUUUUAAUAGGCUGAAAGGCUUAUGAGAAGAGUUGUCGAACUAUAGGCCACAAACUCAUAAUUCUUAUCAUGAAGAAGAACAAAUACUGCAAUUUUUAAUGGGACUGGAUGAGUGUUAUUCCAAUGUGAGAAGUCAGAUUUUACUAAUGGAGCCUUUGCCUCCACUAAACGAAGUGUUUACCUUAGUUCAGUAGGAUGAAAAACUGAGAGAUGUGGCAUCAAGGAGUUAGAUUAAUGUGGAAACCAGUGCAUUCAUUAGUAGAUUGAUGCGUAAUCCUAUGAGCUCCGGAGGUAACCGAAGAACAACGAAUAUGAAUCAAAAUUACAGGAAGGAUAGACCUAAGUGUAGUUACUGUGGGAUGCUUGGACAUAUACAGGGAAAGUGCUACAAACUCCAUGGAUAUCCUCCAGGACAUAGGUUGGCAAAGGAGAAAGGAAAAUGAUAUAUUUCCAGUGCUAAUCAGGUGAUGGGAACUGCUACCUCCUCUGAUCUGUCAGGUGCAUUCUCAAACCUGACAUUUACUCCAGAACAAUGCUAGCAAGUUCUCAAUAUGUUGAAACCGCAGAUUCACGUUCAGCUCUCAAAUUUGAUUACUCAAUCUGGUAAUACUGAAAACCAAAGUCAAACAAACCUUGCAUUGCCAGAUGUUUCACAUUCUGAGGACCUUUCUACAUGGACAACGAUUGGAGUGGGGAAACUUGAAGCUGGAUUGUAUCACUACUAGCUUAGUACUCCUUCAAACAAUGGUCCAUCACUCCCUGCAUGCCCCAUCAAAUCUGCACCACAUCAAUUCAAUACAUUCUCUUCUGUACUUGUAGAUGUUGGCUGUAAUAAAGUCAUAAAUCAUGACUAUGUUUCUAGUCUCAAUGCUGUCACAAAAGUGCCUUUUGAACUAUGGCACUCUAGGUUAGGACAUAUUCCCCAUUCUAGAAUCUCCAUGUUGCAAAAACUUGUACCUAAAAUUGUAUGGAAUUAUGAAUUUCAUUCUAGUAUUUGUCCUAUGGCAAAGCAACAUAGGUUGCCUUUUCCUCACAGUAUGCAUAUA